CAAACUCGCCUCGUGGCCCACUGUCAAGCUGUCAAGCUGUCUUGUUGUCAUAAAAAAUGAGGCGUCCUUUUGUAAAGGUAGCUCGUAGCCAAUACAUGGAAGCUGGUAGCCCUUCAGCAGUGGGAACGGGCUAUGUUUCGGCAUCCCUCCGGAACGCUACAAACGAUCGACAGCACGGUUCUUGUACGUGUUCGGAUUGCUGGAAUGUUGCUGGUAGCUGGUUGCUGGUAGCUUCAGCUGCGGGAAGGGCUGUGUUUCCUCAUCGUUCCGGUACGCCACGAAGGAUCAAAAGCACGGUUCGUGUACGUGUACGUGUGGAUUGCUGGAAGGUUGCUGGUAGCUGGUAGCUGGUAACCUUUCAGCAGCGGGAACCUUUCAGCAGCGGGUGUUUCCGCAUCCCUCCGGAACGCUACAAACGAUCGACAGUGCGGUUUUUUUUAUUGUAAAAAUAAAUAAAAGUAAAAUUGUUAGCAGCACGGCUCGUCUUCUUGUUAAAGAAGCGAAUGAGCUAGA
Long non-coding RNA from Anopheles gambiae (African malaria mosquito), 513 nucleotides. RefSeq lists it as uncharacterized. The record is from RefSeq and is a predicted model, not a curated record. NCBI's taxonomy places the organism in Eukaryota, Metazoa, Arthropoda, Insecta, Diptera, Culicidae. The transcript has 3 exons.